CGAGAAGACCCUAUGGAGCUUUAGACACCUAGCCGCAAGUUUCGUCCAAAAACCCUGAACAAAAGACCAAACAACUAGACCUGCCCUAAUGUCUUUGGUUGGGGCGACCUAGG
This 113-nucleotide ribosomal RNA is filed under the name Girella sp. KP-2015. RNAcentral's name for it is "partial 16S ribosomal RNA". The record is from RNAcentral. Lineage: Eukaryota; Metazoa; Chordata; Actinopteri; Centrarchiformes; Girellidae.